This 460-nucleotide ribosomal RNA is filed under the name uncultured bacterium. RNAcentral describes it as "partial 16S ribosomal RNA". It matches the Rfam family "Bacterial small subunit ribosomal RNA", at positions 338 to 795 of the family's 1533-position model. The record is from RNAcentral.
CCUACGGGAGGCAGCAGUGAGGAAUAUUGGUCAAUGGGCGCGAGCCUGAACCAGCCAAGCAGCGUGAAGGAAGACUGCUCUACGGGUUGUAAACUUCUUUUAUAAAGGAAUAAAGUGAGGCACGCGUGCCUUUUUGUAAGUACUUUAUGAAUAAGGAUCGGCUAACUCCGUGCCAGCAGCCGCGGUAAUACGGAGGAUUCGAGCGUUAUCCGGAUUUAUUGGGUUUAAAGGGUGCGUAGAUGGGUUGAUAAGUCAGUUGUGAAAGUUUGCGGCUCAACCGUGAAAUUGCAGUUGAUACUGGCAGUCUAGAGUACAGUAGAGGUAGGCGGGAUUUGUGGUGUAGCGGUGAAAUGCUUAGAGAUCACAAAGAACUCCGAUUGCGAAGGCAGUUCACUAAACUACAACUGACGCUGAGGCUCGAAAGUGUGGGUAGCAAACAGGAUUAGAUACCCGAGUAGUC